AAACAAACAAGUUGCUCCAGCAACCUUCUAAAUAAAUAAAUCCCUGGAGGAUUUCUUGAUUUACUUGUUCAUUUCAAACAUACACACUUCUCAUAUCACCUCAAGAAAGCUUCUUUCUCUCUACUUUCCACCACCUUGUGCAAGUGUUCUUGAGUUGCUAUUACACUUUUUGGAUCAUCCAAGUCUUCACGUGUUCACCAAGUGCUCUUGACUUGAUAUUCCUUAACUUCAACCUUCCACUCUUCAAGUCAUCACUCAAGGUGAGUUCAUACCCCUACAUUUUCUAGUUUUCUUCAAUUUUCAGGGGGGAAAUACAAGUUAAAACACCAAAACAUAUUCAAAACUCAACUUGACAGCUUACAACAGAAAAGUUGUGACUUGUUCACGAACUGUUUUACCCAACUUAAACUGAAUAUUUUUCAAAACUGUAUAAUAUGCAAGUAGUUCAGGUUUAUACCUUUAAAAUUACUACUUUUACAUCUCCAUACGAUUUUUCUACAAUUUAUGGUGAUUUUACAAAACUGUCUGUCACUGCAGCAACAAAAUCAGACCAGGUUGUGAAAAUGAACAUUUUCACACUAGUUUGAGACCACCAAAAAUUAUGGGAAAAUUUAAUAACAUAGUAGACACUUUUUCCAAAUACUCAGAGAUUACGGAUUCAGUUUUCUACUUACGAUGAUUUUUCUAUAAAUACUAAAAAACAGUGACAGUUAAGGGUAAAACUGUCAAAUACAUAUUUAAGAGUUAUUCACACCUUGUAACAUGUUGAGCAAGGUGUGUAAGAUUUACACUUAGUAUUUCUAAUGUCCUUUAUUUGAAAUACAUAUACAUGCGUAACAAAGUUUCAUACCAUCAUAUAACACUUUUGAUAAACUAUAAUAGGUAUAGUUUUGAACACUCCAUUUAACAAAGAAAACAAUAACAUUAUCGAUUUACAAAACGAAUUUUUCACUACACAUUAUGUGAAUUCGUUAAUAAAUAUUUGUGAGACAUUCUCCUUCAGGGUACUCUAAGUACCACAGAAAAGUCCUUUAGUUAUAAUCAGAAUCUCCUGGAGGGAGAACGUGAUAGUUGUGUAUAGAUGUAUAUUGGGUCCUACAAACCCGCACCUGAGCUGUUUGCAACAGCUAGACCAGCAGGUCUGUGGUGACAAGUGUCAUAAAUUCCCGACGCCUGAAGAACGUCGCAUUCGAGGCCAUCUAGUCCUUAGUAUGAUUAUAACAUCUCGCAUGGAAUAUUAACACAACAUACAGUUCACGGAAAUUCUAAGGCUUUAUACAAAGGAGUUCUAUUUAAGUAUAAAACACACACAUAAGUAUGACGAUUUACUUACACAUACUAAGCCUUGUUUCAUUUCAGUUUACAACAAAUCUUUUAGAAAAUAUUGGAAUUUCUGGAAACAAACUUGUAACAAACGUUAAGGAAACAACAUUCAUUUUUGUAAAAUACUUAUGAACUCACCAGCUUUAUACUGAUAUUCUCUUUUCAAAACAACUUGUAUUCUCAGGUAAUCAGUAAUACAGGUAACCGCAAGAUUUCUGAAGUCAAGACGCUAAGGCGUAGAUUCUUUUGCUAGAUUUUAUCAUCAUAUGUAAUUUAAUUGGAAAACAUGUAUUUUUGGAACAUGUAUUUUGGAAACAAUGUAAUCUUCUUAAUUUAUAUCUAUGAUGGUUGUGUUUUA
This is a non-coding RNA of Lactuca sativa (garden lettuce), 1681 nucleotides long. The record is from RefSeq and is a predicted model, not a curated record. NCBI's taxonomy places the organism in Eukaryota, Viridiplantae, Streptophyta, Magnoliopsida, Asterales, Asteraceae.